AAUUUCAGGUCAUUUGUUUAGAGGAGAACUUCUCUCCCUGUUCACCGGAAAGCAUGUGAUGAAGAAUGACAGCUGUUGUGAAGCAAUACAAUAAUGUCUUCUUUAGUUCUUCAGAAAAGGAAACUGUAGAGAUUGUGGAACCUCAUUUCAUUAAUAAGGAUUGCAAAGAUGUUAUCGAUCAGGCCAAAGUCCACUUGAUGUUGCGGGAGUUUUCUGAAUGCCUCACGACGUGUCUUGAAGGGCUUGAUAAAUGCAAACGGCUUUCCCAUGACGGAAUUUGUUAUGAAAGUUUUGUAAUUUUGGCAGUACAAGCAUACGGUGAACAGAAUAAAUGGAAAGAAGUUCUUCCUUUCAUUGAUAAAAUCUAUGGAAACAUCAGUCAGUGUCCUCCCACAGUGAUAAAACUUUGCAUUGGCCUUUUGUCAUGGGUUAAAGAAUACGAUGUGGCUCAAAAACAAGCAUGUCUGUGGCUGGAGAAUCCACAGAACUUGGAGAAGGAACACACAACGGUAGGGAAGCUGGUUGUUGAAGAAGUCUUAUUACCACAAAAGAAAUACUUGGAAAUUUCGCAUUUUGUUGAAAAGAUGCUUAAACUGAAUCCUGAAGAAAGAAAACAGAUACAAAAUUUUGUCUCGGAAGCAAAAAGAUACGAAGAUAGUAAAAUGGAGAAAUUUAAUAAUAUCAAAACACCUACAAAGAAAGAAGAAGAGCAGAAUGUGAUGCUGUCACUGAUAGAAAGAAUGAAGGCCUUCUUCCAGUCCUUGUCACCAUACUUCCGACAUGGUACAGGAAAGGUCCUAUUUCUUGGCCUCUCGUUGUAUUUGGUCUUCCUCCAUCUCAGGGUCGUCAUUUGACUGCGGUCAUGCUGGAGCACCGCCUUUAGUCGAACAAAUCGGCCCCCAGGACUUAUUCUUUAAUAUUCGGUUUUUGGUAUAAGGGAUAUUACACACAAGUUAUUUCAAAUAUAUCGGCACCAAUUCAAAAGCAAUGACUCAAAGACAUGAGAUGUCAACUCGAGAAAUCUCUCUUUCUCUUAAUUAUCUUCCAUAACUUAGCUGCUGUGAUCAUGAUUCAUAAUUAACAAAGUUGGUAUCAGUGAGAUAUAAUUCUUUCUCUUACCUAUUUUGUAAUAAUCUCUACACUUGUAUAUUGUAAACAAUAAUGUCGGAACUGUAUUUUAAAAAAAAUAUGGUAAAAAUCUUCAAUGCUAAAAUACUAAUGUGAAAUUUAAAUGCCAGAAGCUUUUCUUUAAGCCUUUAAUAAGAACAUCUUGCAUUUCUUUUUCUGGGAUGUUUUGUCUGCAAAAUAAUUUUAUUGUCUUAUUUUCAAAGCAUUUAAGAAAAAAAUUUUUUACAAGAAUAAUUAGCAUAUUUUGUUUUCAUUAUAAAACAAAAUAUUUUGUUUUGUAAAUAAUUCACCAAAUUGGUACCGGGUUUUUGUUUGUUGGUUUUUGUGUGUGUGGGUGUAUAAAAGUUUACUGAAGAAUGUAGAACUGGUAGAAUAAAGAGUACAUUCCAAAUUGUAUGUGUGCUGGGAUGUGUGUGUGUGUGUGUGUGUGUUAGUGAAUGGGUGUAACAGAAAUUUUGCUGGAAGACAUUUGUAAAAGAAAGAAAUUAUUUCAAUUUUAUU
This 1629-nucleotide unclassified non-coding RNA is filed under the name Octopus sinensis (East Asian common octopus). RNAcentral's name for it is "peroxisome assembly protein 26, transcript variant X2". Lineage: Eukaryota; Metazoa; Mollusca; Cephalopoda; Octopoda; Octopodidae. The record is from RNAcentral.